Long non-coding RNA from Malaya genurostris, 1782 nucleotides. RefSeq lists it as uncharacterized. Lineage: Eukaryota; Metazoa; Arthropoda; Insecta; Diptera; Culicidae. The record is from RefSeq and is a predicted model, not a curated record. The transcript has 3 exons.
UUUAAAGCUACUAUUGGGCCAUUGAUCAUGUUCGAAUAUUAAAUGGCUGUGAUUUCUGGUUCCGGAGAUAUAAUGGAAUAAGUGACGCAACCGACAAAACGCGUUAUUUUCUGUCGUGAAUACUUACUCAACUUACAUUACUAUGGAGAGCCUUUUCAAAAUUUACCUUGUACAAGAAUGGGUAGAAUGUACAUGUACAAGAAUGGGUGCUUUACCCAACAACAUAUUCUUUUCUUAUUGCUUUCAGAAAUAUGAUCAGCCAUUUAUUAUAAAAUUUUCGGUAGUAUGAAAUAACUACGCAUAACUCAUAAUUAUUAAAGAGAAAAACUCAUGACGCUUAUUUGUCUCUCUCGAACACAGACGACGGUGAGUGACAUUGCAUUUUCGGGUUACCAACUGAGUAGAAGAGAUGGUCGGAUAAGCAUUUCUUUUAAACCCGAGCUCACCCUUUAGAUAAUUCCUAGUACACUGAGGUCUCUUUUUACGCGGGGGAUACGAACCGCGUAGAAAAACCGCGCAAAAAAAUAGCGUAACUUCGGAAAUUUGCGUAGAAAAAGGCGUAGCUUCGGAAAUCCGCGUAAAAAAAAAAACAAAGCUAAAGAAUUUUUUUUCUUGAUGUCAAUUUUCUUAGAAAUGCAUGAAACGUCUAGAUCUGGUGUAAUCUGAACAUUUUUUUUUUUGAAAAAGAUCGAAGAUUUUCCAAGUGUCAAAGAGUUGACUUAAAAAAAAUUUGGGAUAGCACCAGUGUUACACAUUUGAAAUUAUGCCGACAAAAAUAGAAAAAUUAUUCUCGAAGUGCCGAUUCAAAGUCAUCUAACGCUUGACGCAAAUUUCCAACUUCCUUUUAUCAUCGUCAUCCAAUCGUCCGAUAGACACAUAUUGAUGAUAAUAGAGUGGUCUCUCUCAUGCACACUCCCCGACCUUACACACGAUUAAAACCGAGAUGUAUUCAUAUCCACUUCAUUGUGGUUCGAACAAAGCCUUCGAACGGUUCGCGAUCAAGUGCCGGUGAACAGAGGCACUAAACGUGUCGAGUGCGGUUAGACAAAUUCCAAGCGAGAAACAAAUCCAAGCACACGCUACAUGAACUUAGACGGUGCAUGAAAACAGGUAAAGCCACUGGAAUACUCGCCUUUCACAGAUAAUAAGUGAAUCAUUCUCAAAAAAUGAAAAUCACGUGUGCGUCAACACUCACACGAUCCUAACCAUUUCGAUGUUCAUUGGGCAUAAAACGAAGUGAUACCUCGUGGCAAGACAGUGAACAGUUUCUUUCAUGUGCAUCAGAUCAAGAUAGUGACGUGAAGCAAACACAAGGCUCAAAUCAGAGCCUUUUAUGUUAGCCCGCUUCUGUUAAACCUGCGCUAGUCCGUUCUAUAGAAGCCAGUGUGCGUGAACCGUGCACCGAGAGACCAAGCUGUGAUCGCUCUGCUCAACAAGCAAAUUGUUCAACACACAAAACGGUACGAAGAUCCAAACACGGCGUAGCUGAAUCAACGGUACAAUCUCCAGGAUCGCAUGCAUCGGAGGCGCGAGACGGCUCGGAACAAAUGCAUCUGAAGUGACAAACGGGAAUGCAGAGUCAUCAGUAGGAGAGGAUCGACCCCGACGUGCUACAUCCAGCGGUGAUUAAUAAGUGUAGGAACGUGAGGCCGGUGUACAUGAAUCAAUAGAAUGAUAGUUAACAGGAAUGGAUUUUGAUAGUUUUAAGCAGCAUGUCUCGCAUUAGUUAAGUAAGCGCAUUGCAUGAUUAGAUAGGUUUUGGUGAGUCUUUAUGAAUUGUUG